GGGGUUGUGGCUCAAUGGUAGAGCACUCACCUCGAAGGUGUGAGACCCUGGGUUCGAUCCUCAGCACCACA
This 71-nucleotide transfer RNA is filed under the name Marmota monax (woodchuck). RNAcentral's name for it is "tRNA.Ser". It matches the Rfam family "tRNA". From Rfam's summary of the family: Transfer RNA (tRNA) molecules are approximately 80 nucleotides in length. Their secondary structure includes four short double-helical elements and three loops (D, anti-codon, and T loops). The record is from RNAcentral. Lineage: Eukaryota; Metazoa; Chordata; Mammalia; Rodentia; Sciuridae.